CGGAAGACCGAACGAAGAGGCGAAUCCUCCGAAAUCGAGGGAACCUGUUUUUACCCAGAAGCUCUCUGGCCCGACGCACGGGACUUGGAGUCCCGGGGCUCGGUUCCGCAACCCUUCAGAAAGCGCAGCCGCUCUCGUGAGCCCGCUCCUGCGGAAUUUCCAUGCCGCCGCAUCGCUUCUAAAGAUUUUCCAAAAUUGCACGUUCAAUACUAAUUAGCCGAAAGUGUCCUCGGGGAUAUAGUUCCGGGGCAGAUAAAAGAGCUGAAAACCCACUCUCGGUUGGGCGAUGACUAAAAAGUGUCACGAAAACGAGAUCGCACUCGAGUAAUUGAAGCAUCAGAGUGCGGAGAGAGCUCGUUGAAAAUUGAACUCGCUCGCGAGCUCCGUGUCGGGCGCUAGAGGCCGGAAUAUAAAUAAUGUAUCGACGCCGCGUGGAAUUUUCAGAGUGCGCGAGCAAGAGCGAAGCUUGUCAAUGAACAGUUGGAAGCCGAACAGAGCGAGAACCGCGCGGCCUCAGGGGUCCUCGUCGCCGUUUCGUCCGGGCGCAGGGGCGAGCGAGAGCUCAAAAUAUCCGACGAUAUGAGAUGAUUACGAGCCGGUGGAGCCGAGAAGGGUAGUUUUGCUCUCGGUGGAUAUAAAACACAUGAAAAAUCGCGUGUGAGUGGGAUUCGUGCGCGGCGAUCGAUAGCUUACCCGCGGAGACGAGAGAGAGAGAGAGAGAGAGUCCCGCGCGAGCAGAGCAGAGGGAUGAAGCGGAGAUAUACGCAAGAGACGACAGCAGCGGGGACGAGGAUGCGGGCGAGCGAAGCGCGGAGUCAACGUCGAGAGUGCUCGUGACGACCGCUUUAAUUAUUUCUCGCACGCGCUCAUCUCAUUCCAUGCACAGAGAGCACUGACAUUCGUGUGUGUAGACGCGAGCUUAAGGCGAUCUCGCAGUGACAUUUCCAUACCAACGAAAGCUCCGCCGGGCAUGCUCGUGCUAACGAGUCCGCAUUACACGAGCUCUCGCAUCCUUCCAGCAUCAGUGAAAACCGCCUUAUUUCAUUGUCUGUACUUGCACCAAUUAAACGCGAGCAUUCUUCCUCUCGGGAUGUUCGAUCAAACUCCUCCUCGAUUUUAGUUUUAGUACUCGCCCGGCACAUCGAUUUCGGAUGGAAUAUUUAUGCCGAGGGUGCGUCCACGCUCGGCGCUCCAUUCUCGUGUUAUUUGCGGAAAGAAAGCUCCCGAGCAACGAAUCUCGGAUGAGGGGACCCGGCCGAAAUGUGUGCCGGAAUAAUUGGUUUCCAGAUCCCUGGGAUCGCCCGGUAAAUGCGAGAUGGGAAGUAGAAACGCGGAUUUAUAAGGCAGGCCUGGUCUGCGGGCCAGAGUAUAGCGUGAACGGCUCGAUGCUGCUCGAACCGCGUGAAAAGCGAGCGCAUCAUCAGGCGGCUCCGUUCUCUCUCGCGUGUUUCAAUAUUAUGAGCAUUCGUUUGCCAAUAUCGGACGAACAAACACCUGGCAAUAUUUGACCAAUACACGGGGAAGUUUAUCAAGUGGGGAAGCCUCUGGUAAAUCGAGUCGCGGGGCGUCGAGACUAUUUCCGAGAAAACUCAUUGUACGAGUGCCCCAAUUGUGUGUUUGGCAAAUAUUGAAGUUCGAACUCGCUGUUAAAACAAUCGAGGAACACCGUUGUUUUAAUAUCCCUCGACUGUCGCGGAAAAAUAGCCGCUGGAAAGAACCGCCGCGAGCCCCCGAGAAGCGAGCUGGCCAACCGAGGAGCUUCCCCGGCGAAGCAUCCACCCGCGGCUGAGAUUACAUAAUUCGAGAAAAUUCACGCUGAGACAGCACGCUGCGAAUCGGCAAUGUAAAAAAUAAGCGAAAUACUAGGCUGCUCGCCUUUUCGAAGCCAACGACGACGCUGGACCGGACACGAGAGAAGCUUCUAGUGGCGGAGCUCUCCGGCGUUAACGCCACUGGGUAUCCCUUCAAGCGCACACAAGAGGGAAAGAGAAGCGGCUCGAAGGAGCGAGGAGGGUGCAAGAGGGCGAGAGAAAGAGAUACCACACCCUUUGUGCUAAAAUUAGAAAUGACGAUAGAGUGUAUUCACUCCGUUGGCUUCGCGAGGCUGCUGCUGCUGCUGCUUCUACCUGUACACUUUUUUCCACGAGCGUAUGACCACACAACCUGUGCUAUAUUCACUCCCGGCAUGUGCGAAGAAACGAUCAUACCGAGAGGAGAAAGAAAGAGAGAAAAUCUUGCGCGUUAUACGGAGCUAAAUGUGCUGAUGCUGUGAGCUGGGAGGAAAACCUUUUGCACAAAUCAACAACGUUGCACGAUCGACUUUUCCAUCAGUCGAGAGCGCUCUCGCGUGUGUAUACUCAAUUUCGAUAUUAUUU
RNAcentral lists this long non-coding RNA (2375 nucleotides) under Venturia canescens. Its description in RNAcentral is "uncharacterized LOC122415005". The record is from RNAcentral. Lineage: Eukaryota; Metazoa; Arthropoda; Insecta; Hymenoptera; Ichneumonidae.